RNAcentral lists this small nuclear RNA (283 nucleotides) under Castor canadensis (American beaver). Its description in RNAcentral is "7SK RNA (ENSCCNG00000015148.1)". It matches the Rfam family "7SK RNA". Rfam says of the family: 7SK was discovered as an abundant small nuclear RNA in the mid-70s but a possible function has only recently been suggested. Two independent studies have found that 7SK RNA binds the CDK9/cyclin T complex (known as elongation factor P-TEFb). The record is from RNAcentral. Lineage: Eukaryota; Metazoa; Chordata; Mammalia; Rodentia; Castoridae.
GGAUGUGAGGGCGAUCUGGCUGCGACAUCUGUCACCCCAUUGAUCGCCAGGGUUGAUUCGGCUGAUCUGGCUGGCUAGGCGGGUGUCCCCUUCCUCCCUCACCGCUCCAUGUGCGUCCCUCCCGAAGCUGCACGCUCGGUUGAAGAGGACGACCAUCCCUGAUAGAGGAGGACCAUUCUUCGGUCAAGGGUAUACGAGUAGCUGCGCUCCCCUGCUAGAACCUCCAAACAAGCUCUCAGGCCCAAAGCCUGAAAAUCCAGGGAAAGGGCAGUUGGUGUUAAGU